RNAcentral lists this long non-coding RNA (202 nucleotides) under Ananas comosus (pineapple). RNAcentral describes it as "long non-coding RNA (ACOM_LNC018815)". Lineage: Eukaryota; Viridiplantae; Streptophyta; Magnoliopsida; Poales; Bromeliaceae. The record is from RNAcentral.
UGUGUGCUUCUUCAGGCAUGAUACCGACUGUUUUUAGCGCAAGUGAUAAAAAAGACUUAGUAAUUGAUAUUCGAGAUUUCAAAUUUAAAUUCUAAUUGAUUCACAUUUUUAGUUAAAUUUAUUUUUAAAUAAAAUAAACGAAGCGGGUAGCAUGUUAGCUAUCUCUGAGAAAAUUUUUUUUAAAAAAAACAACCUUCAGACA